Long non-coding RNA from Oncorhynchus tshawytscha (Chinook salmon), 326 nucleotides. NCBI's taxonomy places the organism in Eukaryota, Metazoa, Chordata, Actinopteri, Salmoniformes, Salmonidae. The record is from Ensembl.
CAGGAAGUCAGCAGAGGAACGGCCACGCCGUCUCCUCAGCACAGCAACGGGGCCGCUGUCGCCAACGGCAACGACAGAUCCUGCUGACCCUGCAUCUAACUGUGAGGAGGACUCAGUGUCCCACCAGUCAUGUACGCUGAGCCCAGCCAGCCUGACCCACACACCUAGCCCAGGGGUCAAUCACAUCACUGACAAGACACAGGGACUAUUUGGGCCAUCUCCAGAAAGGAGAGCAGGCUACGAAUGUGAAGGAACUCAUCCAAAAUAUCACAGGCAAUCCAGAACAAGGAUACAGAGGACUUCCAACCAAAAAUGUUUUAUCAGAG